This 531-nucleotide ribosomal RNA is filed under the name uncultured bacterium. Its description in RNAcentral is "bacterial SSU rRNA". It matches the Rfam family "Bacterial small subunit ribosomal RNA", at positions 777 to 1304 of the family's 1533-position model. The record is from RNAcentral.
AAUAGAUACCCCGGUAGUCCACGCCGUAAACGAUGAGUGCUAAGUGUUAGAGGGUUUCCGCCCUUUAGUGCUGCAGCUAACGCAUUAAGCACUCCGCCUGGGGAGUACGGUCGCAAGACUGAAACUCAAAGGAAUUGACGGGGGCCCGCACAAGCGGUGGAGCAUGUGGUUUAAUUCGAAGCAACGCGAAGAACCUUACCAGGUCUUGACAUCCUCUGACAACUCUAGAGAUAGAGCGUUCCCCUUCGGGGGACAGAGUGACAGGUGGUGCAUGGUUGUCGUCAGCUCGUGUCGUGAGAUGUUGGGUUAAGUCCCGCAACGAGCGCAACCCUUGAUCUUAGUUGCCAGCAUUUAGUUGGGCACUCUAAGGUGACUGCCGGUGACAAACCGGAGGAAGGUGGGGAUGACGUCAAAUCAUCAUGCCCCUUAUGACCUGGGCUACACACGUGCUACAAUGGAUGGUACAAAGGGCUGCAAGACCGCGAGGUCAAGCCAAUCCCAUAAAAACCCAUUCUCAGUUCGGAUUGUAGG